UUAACUCAAAGUUGUAUGGAGUUGUAACGUUUGCGUACGUUUGCCGCUAGGGGCGCUGUACCUACUCCAUACAAAUUGGAGUUA
This 84-nucleotide microRNA precursor is filed under the name Bombyx mori (domestic silkworm). Its description in RNAcentral is "mir-2807 microRNA precursor family". It matches the Rfam family "mir-2807 microRNA precursor family". Lineage: Eukaryota; Metazoa; Arthropoda; Insecta; Lepidoptera; Bombycidae. The record is from Rfam by way of RNAcentral.